GGUACAGAAUGACUGCAUCGAGGCAGAACAACACGAGUUAUUGGGUGGUACCAUUCACAUCCCCAUAUUACUGUUCUUCCUUCUCAUGUUGAUGUCCGGACUCAGGCAAUGUAUCAACUUCUAGAUUCUGGAUUUAUUGGGCUCAUAUUUUCUUGUUUUAGUGAAGAUACAAACAAGGUGGGAAGAAUACAAGUCAUUGCUUUUCAGUCAUUGCUUUAUCACCACUGAAUAGAAGCUCAGUUAUCGAUCUGGAGUUAUCUCUAAGCUCUUCUGAAAAUCCAUUGUUGACAUCUGGAUCUGCAGAAGUAGAUAGUCACAUGCAAGACACCAGUGAUUCCAGACCAGUUCAAGGAUCUGCCAAGGUGCAAUUUAUGAUUGUUGAAGUUAAAAUUUGUCAUAUAUCUUGUUACCGUAUCAGGGCUCUUAAACGAGCGAAAGUGAGGAGAUAAGUAAUGCUUUAGAUGAUGGAAUGGAACAUCUUUGUGUAUUAUGCUGCACAAAUUUUAGUUUCCAUAAACAAAGUGCUUCUUUAGAUUUGUUGUUACUUUGCUUAACUUUUCUUUCUUAGUGAUUGCUCUAAUUUCCUCUGAGAA
This is a long non-coding RNA of Gossypium arboreum, 593 nucleotides long. RefSeq lists it as uncharacterized. The transcript has 3 exons. NCBI's taxonomy places the organism in Eukaryota, Viridiplantae, Streptophyta, Magnoliopsida, Malvales, Malvaceae. The record is from RefSeq and is a predicted model, not a curated record.